RNAcentral lists this ribosomal RNA (1488 nucleotides) under uncultured organism. Its description in RNAcentral is "SSU rRNA". It matches the Rfam family "Bacterial small subunit ribosomal RNA". The record is from RNAcentral.
CGAACGCUGGCGGCGUGCCUAAUACAUGCAAGUCGAACGAACUCUGGUAUUGAUUGGUGCUUGCAUCAUGAUUUACAUUUGAGUGAGUGGCGAACUGGUGAGUAACACGUGGGAAACCUGCCCAGAAGCGGGGGAUAACACCUGGAAACAGAUGCUAAUACCGCAUAACAACUUGGACCGCAUGGUCCGAGUUUGAAAGAUGGCUUCGGCUAUCACUUUUGGAUGGUCCCGCGGCGUAUUAGCUAGAUGGUGGGGUAACGGCUCACCAUGGCAAUGAUACGUAGCCGACCUGAGAGGGUAAUCGGCCACAUUGGGACUGAGACACGGCCCAAACUCCUACGGGAGGCAGCAGUAGGGAAUCUUCCACAAUGGACGAAAGUCUGAUGGAGCAACGCCGCGUGAGUGAAGAAGGGUUUCGGCUCGUAAAACUCUGUUGUUAAAGAAGAACAUAUCUGAGAGUAACUGUUCAGGUAUUGACGGUAUUUAACCAGAAAGCCACGGCUAACUACGUGCCAGCAGCCGCGGUAAUACGUAGGUGGCAAGCGUUGUCCGGAUUUAUUGGGCGUAAAGCGAGCGCAGGCGGUUUUUUAAGUCUGAUGUGAAAGCCUUCGGCUCAACCGAAGAAGUGCAUCGGAAACUGGGAAACUUGAGUGCAGAAGAGGACAGUGGAACUCCAUGUGUAGCGGUGAAAUGCGUAGAUAUAUGGAAGAACACCAGUGGCGAAGGCGGCUGUCUGGUCUGUAACUGACGCUGAGGCUCGAAAGUAUGGGUAGCAAACAGGAUUAGAUACCCUGGUAGUCCAUACCGUAAACGAUGAAUGCUAAGUGUUGGAGGGUUUCCGCCCUUCAGUGCUGCAGCUAACGCAUUAAGCAUUCCGCCUGGGGAGUACGGCCGCAAGGCUGAAACUCAAAGGAAUUGACGGGGGCCCGCACAAGCGGUGGAGCAUGUGGUUUAAUUCGAAGCUACGCGAAGAACCUUACCAGGUCUUGACAUACUAUGCAAAUCUAAGAGAUUAGACGUUCCCUUCGGGGACAUGGAUACAGGUGGUGCAUGGUUGUCGUCAGCUCGUGUCGUGAGAUGUUGGGUUAAGUCCCGCAACGAGCGCAACCCUUAUUAUCAGUUGCCAGCAUUAAGUUGGGCACUCUGGUGAGACUGCCGGUGACAAACCGGAGGAAGGUGGGGAUGACGUCAAAUCAUCAUGCCCCUUAUGACCUGGGCUACACACGUGCUACAAUGGAUGGUACAACGAGUUGCGAACUCGCGAGAGUAAGCUAAUCUCUUAAAGCCAUUCUCAGUUCGGAUUGUAGGCUGCAACUCGCCUACAUGAAGUCGGAAUCGCUAGUAAUCGCGGAUCAGCAUGCCGCGGUGAAUACGUUCCCGGGCCUUGUACACACCGCCCGUCACACCAUGAGAGUUUGUAACACCCAAAGUCGGUGGGGUAACCUUUUAGGAACCAGCCGCCUAAGGUGGGACAGAUGAUUAGGGUGA